This 348-nucleotide ribosomal RNA is filed under the name Triticum aestivum (bread wheat). RNAcentral describes it as "partial small subunit ribosomal RNA". The record is from RNAcentral. Lineage: Eukaryota; Viridiplantae; Streptophyta; Magnoliopsida; Poales; Poaceae.
AUGACAGGAGGGACAGGGGGCAAAGCAACAACAACAACUCUUUUCACAAGAUUGACAAGAGGAACUGCAAGUGCCAUAAUUGUGGUAAUACAGACCACUUCAGGUCAGAAUGCACCAAGAAGAGGAAGCCGAAUAGUGAAAGGAAUAAUUUUCACAAGGAUGACAGCCGCAAGGGGAAUCAAUCCCCUGAAGCUGCAGGGGUUUACUGAUGCUGAUUGGCAAGGGGGUCUUGAUGACCGGAAAUCAACUUCUGGUUAUCUGUUUGCGGCGCCUCUGUACUGGGCGAUAUCGCGACGGAGCUCAAAAGAGCUUUGUCUGUUGUGUAGCACUUUCAUCUAUGGAAACUGA